GGUUAAGUGACUAAGCGUACACGGUGGAUGCCUUGGCAGUCAGAGGCGAUGAAAGACGUAGUAACUUGCGAUAAGCCCAGAUUAGGUAGUAACAACCAUUUGAGUCUGGGAUUUCUGAAUGGGGAAACCCACGUGCAUAAGCACGUAUCCUUACCUGAAUACAUAGGGUAAGGAGGCGAACCGGGGGAACUGAAACAUCUAAGUACCCCGAGGAAAAGAAAUCAACCGAGAUUCCGAAAGUAGCGGCGAGCGAAAUUGGACUAGCCCUUAAGCUUUACACGCGUUAGACGAACGGUCUGGAAAGUCCGACGAUACAGGGUGAUAGUCCCGUAGUUGACGACGUGUGUUCAGUGAAAUCGAGUAGGGCGGGACACGUGAUAUCCUGUCUGAAUAUGGGGGGACCAUCCUCCAAGGCUAAAUACUACUGACUGACCGAUAGUGAACCAGUACCGUGAGGGAAAGGCGAAAAGAACCCCUGUGAGGGGAGUGAAAUAGAACCUGAAACCGUGUACGUACAAGCAGUAGGAGCAGGCUUUGUCCUGUGACUGCGUACCUUUUGUAUAAUGGGUCAGCGACUUAUAUUCAGUGGCAAGGUUAACCAUCUAGGGGAGCCGUAGGGAAACCGAGUCUUAACUGGGCGUUCAGUCUCUGGAUAUAGACCCGAAACCAGGUGAUCUAGCCAUGGGCAGGUUGAAGGUUGAGUAACAUCAACUGGAGGACCGAACCGACUAAUGUUGAAAAAUUAGCGGAUGACUUGUGGCUAGGGGUGAAAGGCCAAUCAAACCUGGAGAUAGCUGGUUCUCCCCGAAAGCUAUUUAGGUAGCGCCUCGGACGAAUACUACUGGGGGUAGAGCACUGUUAAGGCUAGGGGGUCAUCCCGACUUACCAACCCUUUGCAAACUCCGAAUACCAGUAAGUACUAUCCGGGAGACACACGGCGGGUGCUAACGUCCGUCGUGGAGAGGGAAACAACCCAGACCGCCAGCUAAGGUCCCAAAUUACUACUAAGUGGGAAACGAUGUGGGAAGGCUCAGACAGCCAGGAUGUUGGCUUAGAAGCAGCCAUCAUUUAAAGAAAGCGUAAUAGCUCACUGGUCGAGUCGGCCUGCGCGGAAGAUGUAACGGGGCUAAGUAGUAAACCGAAGCUGCGGCAAUAUACUUUUGUAUAUUGGGUAGGGGAGCGUUCUGUAAGCGGUUGAAGGUGUGUGGUAACGCAUGCUGGACGUAUCAGAAGUGCGAAUGCUGACAUGAGUAACGAUAAAGGGGGUGAAAAACCUCCUCGCCGGAAGACCAAGGGUUCCUGUC
RNAcentral lists this ribosomal RNA (1304 nucleotides) under Vibrio parahaemolyticus. RNAcentral describes it as "partial 23S ribosomal RNA". It matches the Rfam family "Bacterial large subunit ribosomal RNA", at positions 1 to 1359 of the family's 2925-position model. The record is from RNAcentral. Lineage: Bacteria; Pseudomonadati; Pseudomonadota; Gammaproteobacteria; Vibrionales; Vibrionaceae.